UACGUAGGCAAUGAGAUCUGGUUAAUAAAAAUAACAAAGGUUUCUUUUGUUUGGUUAUAACCAGAAUUAAGAUGUGAGAUGACAAGGGUAAUUAAGCACAAUUGCUAACGUAACGGUAAAAUAUUUUGAUAUUAGUACGAAUACCGAUGGCGAAAGCGGCUUUCUUUGGAAUCUAACGCUGAGGUGCGAAAGCAUGGGAAUCAAACA
Molecule: ribosomal RNA, 207 nt
Filed under: uncultured bacterium
Lineage: Bacteria
Description: partial 16S ribosomal RNA
Rfam family: Bacterial small subunit ribosomal RNA
Source: RNAcentral